CUCCUACGGGAGGCAGCAGUGGGGAAUUUUGGACAAUGGGGGAAACCCUGAUCCAGCCAUGCCGCGUGCGUGAUGAAGGCCUUCGGGUUGUAAACUGCUUUUGUCCGGAACGAAAUCGCCUUUGAUAAUACCGAGGGUUAAUGACGGUACCGGAAGAAUAAGGACCGGCUAACUACGUGCCAGCAGCCGCGGUAAUACGUAGGGUGCAAGCGUUAAUCGGAAUUACUGGGCGUAAAGCGUGCGCAGGCGGUUGUGCAAGACCGAUGUGAAAUCCCCGGGCUCAACCUGGGAACUGCAUUGGUGACUGCAUAGCUAGAGUGUGGCAGAGGGGGAUGGAAUUCCGCGUGUAGCAGUGAAAUGCGUAGAUAUGCGGAGGAACACCGAUGGCGAAGGCAAUCCCCUGGACCUGUACUGACGCUCAUGCACGAAAGCGUGGGGAGCAAACAGGAUUAGAUACCCUGGUAGUCCACGCCCUAAACGAUGUCAACUGGUUGUUGGGGCUUCACUGACUCAGUAACGAAGCUAACGCGUGAAGUUGACCGCCUGGGGAGUACGGCGCAGGUUGAAACUCAAAGGAAUUGACGG
RNAcentral lists this ribosomal RNA (585 nucleotides) under uncultured bacterium. RNAcentral describes it as "bacterial SSU rRNA". It matches the Rfam family "Bacterial small subunit ribosomal RNA", at positions 336 to 916 of the family's 1533-position model. The record is from RNAcentral.